This 465-nucleotide ribosomal RNA is filed under the name uncultured bacterium. RNAcentral describes it as "partial 16S ribosomal RNA". It matches the Rfam family "Bacterial small subunit ribosomal RNA", at positions 28 to 507 of the family's 1533-position model. The record is from RNAcentral.
GACGAACGCUGGCGGCGUGCUUAACACAUGCAAGUCGAACGGAAAGGCCCUGCUUGCAGGGUACUCGAAUGGCGAACGGGUGAGUAACACGUGGGUGAUCUGCCCUGCACUUCGGGAUAAGCCUGGGAAACUGGGUCUAAUACCGGAUAGGAGCCAUUUUUAGUGUGAUGGUUGGAAAGUUUUUUCGGUGUAGGAUGAGCUCGCGGCCUAUCAGCUUGUUGGUGGGGUAAUGGCCUACCAAGGCGGCGACGGGUAGCCGGCCUGAGAGGGUGGACGGCCACAGUGGGACUGAGAUACGGCCCAGACUCCUACGGGAGGCAGCAGUGGGGAAUAUUGCACAAUGGGCGCAAGCCUGAUGCAGCGACGCCGCGUGGGUGAUGACGGCCUUCGGGUUGUAAACUCCUUUCGCUAGGGACGAAGCUUUUUGUGACGGUACCUAGAUAAGAAGCACCGGCUAACUACGUG